Molecule: long non-coding RNA, 503 nt
Filed under: Sinocyclocheilus anshuiensis
Lineage: Eukaryota; Metazoa; Chordata; Actinopteri; Cypriniformes; Cyprinidae
Description: lncRNA (ENSSANG00000020418.1)
Source: RNAcentral
GUUUCUUUUUUAUGAACUGUAUUCUGUAGAGUAACAAGCAAUUUAAAUAAAACAGCUCUUAAAGAUGCUCACAUGCAAAGUAGGAGCCAGGUCAACCGCCAUUAAAUCGUACAAGAAGAAGUAGCAGCCAGGUCUUGCCGCGUGUUGCCAGAUUGUGUGGGAUUCUGUUCUAGCCGUACUGCGCUUGCGCGUGGGAAGCCUGGGGUAGGCCCUGCUGUUAUUCUAACUCUAGUUCAAUCCUACACUGCCGUCUCAACCAAAACAAGGCGCAAGAAAAUCCCCCUCCUGGACGGCAAAUAACCGAGGGUUUCCAUCACCAUUGGAUUUGUUUGGAAGUAAAACUCUCAAUGACAAUCCACAGGAGCCCUUCUGCAACCUUCCCAACCUAAAGAAGAUUUUAGAGCAGAUUUACACUGGUUCAGGAGUAUUGCUGCUAUUACAGAAAUAAUGACAUGAGUGAGUUUAUUACUUCCCAAAUUAUUUCAUACAUAUAUUUAUUAUUA